UACGGAAGGCAGCAGGGGGAAUAUUGCACAAUGGGCGAAAGCCUGAUGCAGCUAUGCCGCGUGUAUGAAGAAGGCCUUAGGGUUGUAAAGUACUUUCAUCGGGGAGGAAAAACAAAACUAAUAAUUUUAUUUCUUGACGUUACCCGAAAAAGAAGCACCGGCUAACUCCGUGCCAGCAGCCGCGGUAAUACGGAGGGUGCUAGCGUUAAUCAGAAUUACUGGGCGUAAAGAGCACGUAGGUGGUUUUUUUAAAGUCAGAUGUGAAAUCCCUGGGCUUAACCUGGAACUGCAUUUUGAAACUGAAAUACUAGAGUAUCGUAGAGGGAGGUAGAAUUCUAGGUGUAGCGGUGAAAUGCGUAGAUAUCUGGAGGAAUACCUGUGGCGAAAGCGGCCUCCUAAACGAAUACUGACACUGAGGGUGCGAAAGCGUGGGGAGCAAACAGGGAUUAGAUACC
Molecule: ribosomal RNA, 455 nt
Filed under: uncultured bacterium
Lineage: Bacteria
Description: bacterial SSU rRNA
Rfam family: Bacterial small subunit ribosomal RNA
Source: RNAcentral